This is a long non-coding RNA of Salvia splendens (bonfire salvia), 748 nucleotides long. RefSeq lists it as uncharacterized. The transcript is spliced from 3 exons. NCBI's taxonomy places the organism in Eukaryota, Viridiplantae, Streptophyta, Magnoliopsida, Lamiales, Lamiaceae. The record is from RefSeq and is a predicted model, not a curated record.
GGGAAAAUUUGGGCGUUCGUUUACAAUGUACUUGGAAUAACACCAAAGUACUAAAAUAAUAAAACACCACAAUUUAAUCAAUGUACUAAAAUUAUAUAUAUUUGAGCCUAUCACUUUUGUCUAUUUAUUUUCUUUUAGCCCAUUUAUCCUUAUUCAAUUGGGCCACUUUUAAUAUAACCAUUUAUUAUAAUCCCUAUUGAGUUCCUGCAGCCAACAUAAAUCCCUUCUUCUAAACCCACGUUUUUUUUCCAUCAAUAUCUCCACCCACAAAUUUCUCUCCAACAAACAAAUCUAAUCUCUGCAUUAUAUUUAUCUCCCCACAACUGCAUCUUUUAUCAGCCGUUUCAUAAUUUCCAAUGCAGUUUUCUCCCUUCCAACAAAGGUAUAAUCUUCCACUUCAAUUCAGUGUAUACAACUCUCUGGAUAUUAAACCCAUAGCACCAUAUAUUUUUCUUGUCACAGUUGAGAGGAAAAAAUCGAGCAGCCUGUGAAUCCAAAUCCCCCCCUGCAAAUCUCAAUUUGUUUUCCUCUUUCCAAAGGGUGAACUUAUGCACGUUGUUGCGGUUUGGAACAGAAAGUGUUGAGGAGUUAAGCAUUUGAGAUUGAGCGGCGAUGGGCGUGGAGGAUGUUGAGCAGAGUUCAUGGAUUGUUCUGUCAUGAUUAAUAAUGUUGGAUUUGUCGUGUCUUCAUACUCGGCAUUUUCCGUGUCUUGAACGCUUCCGCUAAGAGUACUUUUCUUUAGAAUUGU